Molecule: ribosomal RNA, 1031 nt
Filed under: uncultured archaeon
Lineage: Archaea
Description: bacterial SSU rRNA
Rfam family: Archaeal small subunit ribosomal RNA
Source: RNAcentral
UAAAUUUUUAUUUGGCUCCAUAUUGGGCGAAUUGGGCCCCAAUUUCCCAGUUCCCGGCCCCCCAGGCCCCCGGGUUUUUCGGGUAUUCCCCCCGGCCCCUUGUGUUUUGGGGUGAAAUUAAACCAUCUUAGUUGAGGCUUCUUAAGUUAUGUUGGAGCGCGGCAUACGGUUCAGUAACAAGUGGGCAACCUCCCCCUUAGGACGGGAACAAUCUCCGGAAAACUGAGGCUAAUUCCCAGAUAGAUGAAGACUCCUGGAAUGGUUCUUCACCCAAAGGACUUUAGGCCCAUGUUUUUCAUGUUGCCUAAGGAUGGGGCCGCGCCCGAUCAGGUUGUUGGUGAGGUAACGGCUCACCAAGCCUAUAACCGGUACGGGCCGUGAGAGCGGUAGCCCGGAGAUGGGCACUGAGAUAAGGGCCCAGGCCCUACGGGGCGCAGCAGUUGCGAAACCUCCGCAAUGCGCGAAAGCGUGACGGGGUCACCCCAAGUGCUGUCCGCUGAGGAUAGCUUUUGUUCGAUGUAAUGAGUCGAAAGAAUAAGGGGAGGGCAAGACUGGUGUCAGCCGCCGCGGUAAUACCAGCUCUCCGAGUGGUAGGGAUAAUUAUUGGGCUUAAAGCGUCCGUAGCCGGCCUGGUAAGUCUUCCGUUAAAUCCAGCGACCUAAUCGUUGGUCUGCGGGAGAUACUGUCAGGCUAGGGGGCGGAAGAGGCCGACGGUAUUCUCGGGGUAGGGGUGAAAUCCUAUAAUCCUGGGAGGACCACCAGUGGCGAAGGCGGUCGGCUAGAACGCGCUCGACGGUGAGGGACGAAAGCUGGGGGAGCGAACCGGAUUAGAUACCCGGGUAGUCCCAGCUGUAAACGAUGCGGGCUAGGUGUUGGAGCGGUCACGAGCCGCUUCUGUGCCGCAGGGAAGCCGUUAAGCCCGCCGCCUGGGGAGUACGGUCGCAAGGCUGAAACUUAAAGGAAUUGGCGGGGGAGCACCACAAGGCGUGAAGCUUGCGGUUUAAUUGGAGUCAACGCCGGGAAUCACUAGU